Molecule: transfer RNA, 76 nt
Filed under: Candidatus Spyradocola merdavium
Lineage: Bacteria; Bacillati; Bacillota; Clostridia; Christensenellales; Christensenellaceae
Also listed under: 1 other name
Description: tRNA-Phe
Rfam family: tRNA
About the family: Transfer RNA (tRNA) molecules are approximately 80 nucleotides in length. Their secondary structure includes four short double-helical elements and three loops (D, anti-codon, and T loops). Further hydrogen bonds mediate the characteristic L-shaped molecular structure. tRNAs have two regions of fundamental functional importance: the anti-codon, which is responsible for specific mRNA codon recognition, and the 3' end, to which the tRNAs corresponding amino acid is attached (by aminoacyl-tRNA synthetases). tRNAs cope with the degeneracy of the genetic code in two manners: having more than one tRNA (with a specific anti-codon) for a particular amino acid; and 'wobble' base-pairing, i.e. permitting non-standard base-pairing at the 3rd anti-codon position.
Source: RNAcentral
GCCUGGGUAGCUCAGCUGGUAGAGCAGCAGACUGAAAAUCUGCGUGUCGGUGGUUCAACUCCGCCCCUAGGCACCA